GAACGAGAAAGUGGGCUUCGGCCCACGAGUACAGUGGCAGACGGGUGAGGAACGCGUGGGUAACCUGCCCGGUGGUGGGGGAUAACCCUUCGAAAGAGGGGCUAAUACCGCAUAACAUUCCGCGCUCUUCGGCGCGUGGAAUCAAGGCUAGCCUCUGCUUGCAAGCUAGCGCCGACGGAGGGGCCCGCGUCCCAUUAGCUUGUUGGUGAGGUAACGGCUCACCAAGGCUCCGAUGGGUAGCCGGCCUGAGAGGGUGACCGGCCACACUGGAACUGAGACACGGUCCAGACUCCUACGGGAGGCAGCAGUGAGGAAUUUUGCGCAAUGGGCGAAGGCCUGACGCAGCGACGCCGCGUGGAGGACGAAGGUCUUCGGAUCGUAAACUCCUGUCGAGCGGGACGAAUCCGGAGCGGAUGAAUAAGCCGCUCCGUUGACGGUACCGCUGGAGGAAGCCCCGGCUAACUCCGUGCCAGCAGCCGCGGUAAUACGGAGGGGGCCAGCGUUGUUCGGAAUUAUUGGGCGUAAAGGGCGCGUAGGCGGCCGUGCAAGUCGGAGGUGAAAGCCCUCGGCUCAACCGAGGAACUGCCUCCGAUACUGCACGGCUUGAGUCCCGGAGAGGGUAGCGGAAUUCCCAGUG
This 637-nucleotide ribosomal RNA is filed under the name uncultured bacterium. RNAcentral's name for it is "bacterial SSU rRNA". It matches the Rfam family "Bacterial small subunit ribosomal RNA", at positions 64 to 675 of the family's 1533-position model. The record is from RNAcentral.